AGGGUAGCGAUCCAUCGGUGUGGUUCCCCGUUUUGGAAACGGGAUUAUUGCAGGUUCGAGUCCUGUCUACCCUA
This 74-nucleotide transfer RNA is filed under the name Richelia sp. RM2_1_2. RNAcentral describes it as "tRNA-Pro". It matches the Rfam family "tRNA". Rfam says of the family: Transfer RNA (tRNA) molecules are approximately 80 nucleotides in length. Their secondary structure includes four short double-helical elements and three loops (D, anti-codon, and T loops). Lineage: Bacteria; Bacillati; Cyanobacteriota; Cyanophyceae; Nostocales; Nostocaceae. The record is from RNAcentral.